This 253-nucleotide ribosomal RNA is filed under the name uncultured bacterium. RNAcentral describes it as "partial 16S ribosomal RNA". It matches the Rfam family "Bacterial small subunit ribosomal RNA", at positions 524 to 776 of the family's 1533-position model. The record is from RNAcentral.
UACGGGGGGGGCAAGCGUUGUUCGGAAUUACUGGGCGUAAAGAGCGUGUAGGCGGCUUGGUAGGUCCGCUGUGAAAACUCGAGGCUCAACCUCGAGAUGUCGGCGGAAACCACUUGGCUAGAGUCCGGAAGAGGAGAGUGGAAUUCCUGGUGUAGCGGUGAAAUGCGCAGAUAUCAGGAAGAACACCUAUGGCGAAGGCAGCUCUCUGGGACGGUACUGACGCUGAGACGCGAAAGCGUGGGGAGCGAACAGG